RNAcentral lists this ribosomal RNA (372 nucleotides) under uncultured organism. Its description in RNAcentral is "bacterial SSU rRNA". It matches the Rfam family "Bacterial small subunit ribosomal RNA", at positions 526 to 896 of the family's 1533-position model. The record is from RNAcentral.
CGUAGGGGGCAAGCGUUGUCCGGAUUUAUUGGGCGUAAAGAGCGUGUAGGCGGCCAGGCAGGUCCGCUGUGAAAACUCGAGGCUCAACCUCGAGAGGUCGGUGGAAACCGUCUGGCUAGAGUCCGGAAGAGGAGAGUGGAAUUCCCGGUGUAGCGGUGAAAUGCGCAGAUAUCGGGAGGAACACCCGUGGCGAAGGCGGCUCUCUGGGACGGUACUGACGCUGAGACGCGAAAGCGUGGGGAGCGAACAGGAUUAGAUACCCUGGUAGUCCACGCCGUAAACGAUGGGCGCUAGGUGUGGGCGGUGUCGACUCCGUCCGUGCCGAAGCUAACGCAUUAAGCGCCCCGCCUGGGGAGUACGGCCGCAAGGCUA